UGGGGAAUAUUGCACAAUGGGCGCAAGCCUGAUGCAGCCAUGCCGCGUGUGUGAAGAAGGCCUUCGGGUUGUAAAGCACUUUCAGCGGGGAGGAAGGCGUUAAGGUUAAUAACCUUGGCGAUUGACGUUACCCGCAGAAGAAGCACCGGCUAACUCCGUGCCAGCAGCCGCGGUAAUACGGAGGGUGCAAGCGUUAAUCGGAAUUACUGGGCGUAAAGCGCACGCAGGCGGUCUGUCAAGUCGGAUGUGAAAUCCCCGGGCUCAACCUGGGAACUGCAUUCGAAACUGGCAGGCUAGAGUUUUGUAGAGGGGGGUAGAAUUCCAGGUGUAGCGGUGAAAUGCGUAGAGAUCUGGAGGAAUACCGGUGGCGAAGGCGGCCCCCUGGACAAAGACUGACGCUCAGGUGCGAAAGCGUGGGGAGCAAACAGG
This 429-nucleotide ribosomal RNA is filed under the name Chloroflexota bacterium. Its description in RNAcentral is "Chloroflexi bacterium partial 16S ribosomal RNA". It matches the Rfam family "Bacterial small subunit ribosomal RNA", at positions 355 to 776 of the family's 1533-position model. The record is from RNAcentral. Lineage: Bacteria; Bacillati; Chloroflexota.